UACGAAGGGGGCUAGCGUUGCUCGGAAUCACUGGGCGUAAAGGGUGCGUAGGCGGGUCUUUAAGUCAGGGGUGAAGUCCUGGAGCUCAACUCCAGAACUGCCUUUGAUACUGGGAAGCUUGAGUCCGGGAGAGGUGAGUGGAACUGCGAGUGUAGAGGUGAAAUUCGUAGAUAUUCGCAAGAACACCAGUGGCGAAGGCGGCUCACUGGCCCGGUACUGACGCUGAGGUGCGAAAGCGUGGGGAGCAAACAGG
This 253-nucleotide ribosomal RNA is filed under the name uncultured bacterium. Its description in RNAcentral is "partial 16S ribosomal RNA". It matches the Rfam family "Bacterial small subunit ribosomal RNA", at positions 524 to 776 of the family's 1533-position model. The record is from RNAcentral.